Alosa sapidissima (American shad) is the source of this 423-nucleotide long non-coding RNA. RefSeq lists it as uncharacterized. NCBI's taxonomy places the organism in Eukaryota, Metazoa, Chordata, Actinopteri, Clupeiformes, Clupeidae. The record is from RefSeq and is a predicted model, not a curated record. The transcript is spliced from 3 exons.
UAAAGCAGCGCGAUCCUCGCGCAGGACGCCUAAGGACAAGUCCCCACACCGGCCAGCUCAUGUUUCAGCCCUAUUCCCUCCCAACUAGUCGCUAUGGCACAGGGACAAAGUGGGCUUCUUACCGGGGGAUAAGCGCUUUGGAAAAUGAGAUGAAAUGGAAAAGAAGAUUGAACAAAGAAAGUAAUGCGAAAUGGGUUCAAUCACAAAUACCAAGAAAAAAAAACCUCCCCCAACCAACAAAUUCUCUCCAACCACAUUUAGAGCAUACACAUGAUGGCCUGCAUCCACCCUGACCGCAGAGAGCAGACUUUGUAGAGGAGCUCGGAGAGCUGCACAUCAAUCCAGUGACCCCGGCCUUGUCAGCAUCUCACUGCAUGCUCAGCAGCUUCUGGGAACACUCUCCCUCUCCUGCCCCGACCUGAC